Molecule: ribosomal RNA, 464 nt
Filed under: uncultured bacterium
Lineage: Bacteria
Description: partial 16S ribosomal RNA
Rfam family: Bacterial small subunit ribosomal RNA
Source: RNAcentral
GACGAACGCUGGCGGCGUGCUUAACACAUGCAAGUCGAACGGAAAGGCCCUGCUUGCCGGGUACUCGAGUGGCGAACGGGUGAGUAACACGUGGGUGAUCUGCCCUGCACUUCGGGAUAAGCCUGGGAAACUGGGUCUAAUACCGGAUAGGAGCCAUUUUUAGUGUGAUGGUUGGAAAGUUUUUUCGGUGUAGGAUGAGCUCGCGGCCUAUCAGCUUGUUGGUGGGGUAAUGGCCUACCAAGGCGGCGACGGGUAGCCGGCCUGAGAGGGUGGACGGCCACAUUGGGACUGAGAUACGGCCCAGACUCCUACGGGAGGCAGCAGUGGGGAAUAUUGCACAAUGGGCGCAAGCCUGAUGCAGCGACGCCGCGUGGGGGAUGACGGCCUUCGGGUUGUAAACUCCUUUCGCUAGGGACGAAGCUUUUUGUGGCGGUACCUAGAUAAGAAGCACCGGCUAACUACGU